Molecule: transfer RNA, 84 nt
Filed under: Giardia duodenalis assemblage B
Lineage: Eukaryota; Fornicata; Diplomonadida; Hexamitidae
Description: Giardia intestinalis assemblage B tRNA-Gln
Source: RNAcentral
UGGGGCGUGGUGCAGCGGGAGCAUACUGGCAUUUGAUACUAUGUUUGUCAAGUCACAACCCGGGUUCGGCUCCCAGCGCCUCAG